GAAGCCUGACCCGGCGACGCCGCGUGCGGGAAGACGGCCUUAGGGUUGUAAACCGCUGUUGUACGGGAAGAAGAGGUUGACGGUACCGUACGAGGAAGGUCCGGCUAACUACGUGCCAGCAGCCGCGGUAAUACGUAGGGACCGAGCGUUAUCCGGAAUUACUGGGCGUAAAGGGCACGCAGGCGGUCAUGCAAGUCAGCUGUUAAAGAUGGGGGCUUAACCCUUAGGAGCGGUUGAAACUGUGUGACUUGAGUACUGGAGAGGUAAGUGGAAUUCCCGGUGUAGCGGUGAAAUGCGUAGAUAUCGGGAAGAACACCAGUGGCGAAGGCGGCUUACUGGCCAGUAACUGACGCUGAGGUGCGAAAGCCAGGGUAGCGAACCGGAUUAGAUACCCGGGUAGUCCUGGCCGUAAACGAUGAAUGCUAGGUGUGGGUGGGUAGAACCAUCCGUGCCGGAGUUAACGCGCUAAGCAUUCCGCCUGGGGAUUACGACCGCAAGGUUG
Molecule: ribosomal RNA, 502 nt
Filed under: uncultured bacterium
Lineage: Bacteria
Description: bacterial SSU rRNA
Rfam family: Bacterial small subunit ribosomal RNA
Source: RNAcentral